RNAcentral lists this ribosomal RNA (429 nucleotides) under Bacteroidota bacterium. RNAcentral's name for it is "Bacteroidetes bacterium partial 16S ribosomal RNA". It matches the Rfam family "Bacterial small subunit ribosomal RNA", at positions 355 to 776 of the family's 1533-position model. Lineage: Bacteria; Pseudomonadati; Bacteroidota. The record is from RNAcentral.
UAGGGAAUCUUCCGCAAUGGACGCAAGUCUGACGGAGCAACGCCGCGUGAGUGAAGAAGGAUUUCGGUUCGUAAAACUCUGUUGUUAGAGAAGAACAGCGCAUAGAGUAACUGUUAUGCGUGUGACGGUAUCUAACCAGAAAGCCACGGCUAACUACGUGCCAGCAGCCGCGGUAAUACGUAGGUGGCAAGCGUUGUCCGGAUUUAUUGGGCGUAAAGCGAGCGCAGGCGGUCAAUUAAGUCUGAUGUGAAAGCCCCCGGCUCAACCGGGGAGGGUCAGUGGAAACUGGUUGACUUGAGUGCAGAAGAGGGGAGUGGAAUUCCAUGUGUAGCGGUGAAAUGCGUAGAUAUAUGGAGGAACACCAGUGGCGAAGGCGACUCUCUGGUCUGUAACUGACGCUGAGGCUCGAAAGCGUGGGUAGCAAACAGG